Brassica rapa (field mustard) is the source of this 816-nucleotide long non-coding RNA. RefSeq lists it as uncharacterized. The record is from RefSeq and is a predicted model, not a curated record. NCBI's taxonomy places the organism in Eukaryota, Viridiplantae, Streptophyta, Magnoliopsida, Brassicales, Brassicaceae.
ACAUUUUUCCUUAAAACAAACCUUAAAAUCAUAUAAAUAUCGUCAAUUAGUUUGAAUCGGAAAAUCAUUAUGAAAAGCGAGGAAGAGUAUCACAGAUACCACGUGGCUUUAUAACAUCACAAGAAGAAUUUAAAUGUAGCCAAUCAGAGUAAAGCUAAUCUACUUGUAACAUUCACAAGAUAACUUAGGAUUUUCAAUUAAUAUAAGGUAGAAAGUGUUUUGUACCGUCAGAUGGAUUCGUCAUUUUGAUCCAACGGUUAUGAUCACCUCUCAAAGAUUAGACAGCUCCCAUCUUAUAAGUGUAACUGAAGUAGAUUUUAACAAGACAGAAGUGUCUUUGUCAAAACGUCAUUAUAGUGUUCAAAAAAAAAAAAAAAAAAACAAAAGUCAAAACGUCAUUAUAACAUAAAACACCACCGGAGAUGGCCGCAACUCCCACCGCCGCCGCUGCUUCGUCCUGAGUGGCUUGAUGGUUCGUUGGUUGGAGAUUACGUCUUUGAUCCUUUCGGUUUGGGUAAACCGGCCGAGUAUCCCCAGUUCGAUAUAGAUUCGCUAGACCAGAAUCUAGCUAAGAACCCGUACGGAAGUGGCCGCCCCCAAGUCGACUCCGUUUCAACCGUACAGCGAAGUGUUCAGAAAGGUGGAUGAAUCGCGUUUUCCUUUUAAAAUUGGUUUUAGGCUUUUGUUACUUUGGUCUUUUAACCUGCUUGGCCCAUGACACUAUUAUUGGCCUGGUUGUCAUUUUCUGUGGCCAACCAAGACUGAACCUGAUGAAUCCUCAUAAUUUUGUGCGGGAGGAACGCUUUGCUUUUGAAA